This 1264-nucleotide ribosomal RNA is filed under the name metagenome. Its description in RNAcentral is "SSU rRNA". It matches the Rfam family "Eukaryotic small subunit ribosomal RNA", at positions 526 to 1783 of the family's 1831-position model. The record is from RNAcentral.
UAAACGGACCAUCGAGUAUCCAUUGGAGGGCAAGUCUGGUGCCAGCAGCUGCGGUAAUACCAGCUCCAAUAGCGUAUAUUAAAGUUGUUGCAGUUAAAAAGCUCGUAGUUGGACUUGUGUGCGCUGUCCGCGGGUGGCCUGCGCCCAAAAGGGCGUUUCAGUUCGGCCCCGGUGGCGCCUUGAAAUCUGCAGCUGGGGGGACGUUGGCCUUAACUGGUCGGCGACCGCACGCCGGCUGCUCGGUUACUGUGAGAAAAUUAGUGUGUUCAAGGCAGGCAUUGGGUGCAAUUGAAUACAUUAGCAUGGAAUAAUAAAAUAUGGCUCCUGCCGUAUUUUGUUGGUUUUGACUGGUGGGAGUAAUGAUUGAUAGGGACGGUUGGGGGUGCUAGUAUUGAGCGGCCAGAGGUGAAAUUCAUGGAUUCGCUCAAGACUAACUUAUGCGAAAGCAUUCACCAAGGACGUCCUCUUUAAUCAAGAACGAAAGUUGGGAGAUCGAAGACGAUCAGAUACCGUCGUAGUCUCAACCAUAAACUAUGUCGACUUGGGAUCGGCGGUAGUUUUUUCAUUAAGACACUGUCGGGACCACGGGAGAAAUCAAAGUGUCUGGACUCUGGGGGAAGUAUGGUCGCAAGGCUGAAACUUGAAGGAAUUGACGGAAGGGCACCACCAGGAGUGGAGCCUGCGGCUUAAUUUGACACAACACGGGGAAACUUACCAGGUCCAGAGAUGUAGAGGAUUGACAGAUUGAAGCUCUUUCUUGAUCACUUCGGUGGUGGUGCAUGGCCGUUCUUAGUUGGUGGAGUGAUUUGUCUGGUUAAUUCCGUUAACGAACGAGACCUCAGCCUGCUAGUGUAGUCGGCUGGAUUGCCUUUGGCGAUCCGUGAUUUCGACUUCUUAGAGGGACAAUCGACGCGCAGUCGAUGGAAGUUUGAGGCAAUAACAGGUCUGUGAUGCCCUUAGAUGUUCUGGGCCGCACGCGCGCUACACUGCUGGGCUCAGCGAGUUUUACUUGGCCGAGAGGCCCGGUUAAUCUUGUGAAAUCCCAGCGUGCUUGGGCUCGCCUCCUGCAACUGGAGGCGCCAACGAGGAAUUCCUAGCAGACGCAGGUCAUCAACCUGCAUCGAUUACGUCCCUGCCCUUUGUACACACCGCCCGUCGUUCCAUAAGAGUGAGGCAUCCGGUGAAUUCUCGGGAGAGCCUGGGCGUGGCCAGCAAUGGUCUGCUCGGGUUUGAACUUGCAUAAACUUGGUGCCUAUGAUUAGGG